AAAGUUGUUUACACCUGAGGUAAUGUGGACAUGACUCUAUAAGAACUUGUAAGUCUGUCAUCUAGUUAUAUUGCAGUUUUGCAUGGUCCUGUUUCAAUCUUUUAGUGCAAUCAAUGUUAGACUCCUUUAUUGGGUUAAUAAAUCUCCUAUCCCCUCUUCUUCCUAAAAGAAAAUUAGAGGUGAAAAAUCAAAACAUGUGGUGGUAUGUGAACCCAAUUAGUAUGCUAUCCUGCCCCAACUUUCAUAAAAAAUUGUUUCCUUUGUCGUAAUGUAUCACAGUAGGGAACAGUGCACAAACAAAUUGAAGACAUGGUAUGCAGACUGGAUGUUUAAAUCAAUUCUAUUGAGAAAUAUUUUAUUAUUUUUUAGGACCUAAUGAUGCAUCAUAUUAUAAUUGAUAUGUGCUUUCUGCAUUAUUUAAUAGAGUGAUGUUCUAGUACCUCCUAUCUUUAAUAUUUAUAGCAAAUACUAUGGAAUGUGGUGCUUUAGGUUGCUACAGCAUGUGCACUUGCA
This 513-nucleotide unclassified non-coding RNA is filed under the name Hevea brasiliensis (rubber tree). Lineage: Eukaryota; Viridiplantae; Streptophyta; Magnoliopsida; Malpighiales; Euphorbiaceae. The record is from RNAcentral.